UACAGAGGGUGCAAGCGUUAAUCGGAAUUACUGGGCGUAAAGGGUGCGUAGGUGGUUAGGUAAGUUAGAUGUGAAAUUCCAGGGCUUAACCUUGGGACGGCGUUUAAAACUGCCUAGCUAGAGUACUGUAGAGGGAAGUGGAAUUUCCGGUGUAGCGGUGAAAUGCGUAGAUAUCGGAAGGACACCAGUGGCGAAGGCGGCUCACUGGACCGGUAUUGACGCUGAGGUGCGAAAGCGUGGGGAGCAAACAGG
This 252-nucleotide ribosomal RNA is filed under the name uncultured bacterium. RNAcentral's name for it is "partial 16S ribosomal RNA". It matches the Rfam family "Bacterial small subunit ribosomal RNA", at positions 524 to 776 of the family's 1533-position model. The record is from RNAcentral.